Felis catus (domestic cat) is the source of this 4596-nucleotide long non-coding RNA. RefSeq lists it as uncharacterized. Lineage: Eukaryota; Metazoa; Chordata; Mammalia; Carnivora; Felidae. The transcript has 2 exons. The record is from RefSeq and is a predicted model, not a curated record.
UCAAGGUCGACCCGCGAGUCCUCUGGCGUAAUGUGUGGAAGUCUUCCCCUUAGGCUGGACGGCGGACACAGUCAAUGCCAGUACCCCAUGCCGCCCUUGGUCAGGGCAGGUGCCAGCUCAGCUCACUCUGAACGCCAGUCUCCUCUUCUCCGUGUACUCCAGCUUCCCCGGCCUGACCACACUCCCCUCCCCCCUGGCCGAGGCACCUCUGGCGCGGUUGCAGCCGCGGAGAACUCGAGGAGAACUGGCCGCCUCUCCUGGAAAUUACCUUCUAAUAAAAACCAAGAACGAGCGAAUACAACUAAUUACAGACGGUGGCUAGUACCGUGUAGGAAAUACACAGGGAGCUGUGGUAGAAACUAACAGGCCUCCUCAGGAUGUAUGACGUGUCACUUGACCCUCCUCUACUUGGCCUGGGCCCCAGGCAUACUUUUGCAAAGUUCUCUGACUCCUGGUUUGGAAUACUGUCCUCUGAUUAGCUCAGCACCAUUCUUCAGAUCUCUGCUCAAGUGUUAUGGAGUGUGUGACGCCUUUCUUGAUUUCCCCAGCCAGACUCCUUGUUGCUGCUUCUACUUUUUCUUACCCCUUAUACUAAGGGCCAUUAGAGCACAUAUCACUAUUUCAUUUGUUUGCAUAUCUGUAUAAGGAAAAGCCACAGUUCAGUAUUUCUCUUGAAUAGAGAAAAAUUCAGUCCUUUCCUUCUCCUGUGUUUCUCUCCCGCGUGUCUCCUUUACUUCUCAUGCAAAACACUUUACUUCUGACCCUUCUCGUCACCAAAUGUAUGUGGGGGACUUCUCACAUCAAGCAGGUCUUCGCAGCACCAGCUAAAGUCCUAUAAUUUCACUAAAUUCUAGCACAUUCUACCUACAGAUGUCAGGUCCCACAGGUUAUGGGCUCAGUCCCACAAGGCUGCUCCCCACCCACCUUCAACUUCAGAUGCCAGUUGCAAGUAAUAGGAUUCCCAGGUUACCCACAAUUUCUGUCCAAUUUGGCUAUUAAUGGGAGAUUCCUAUGCCCCCCCACCCCGGUUUGAUUAAUUUGUUAGAGUGACUCACAGAACUCAAGGAAACACAUUUAUCAGUUUAUUAAAAUAUAAAUAAAGGAUGUAGAUGAAUAGAUACAUAGGGCGAGGUCUGGGAGGGUCCUGAGUGCAGGAGCUUCUGUCCUUUGGAGUUGGAGGUUCACCACCCUCCUAGGGUGGAUGUGUUCGCCAAUGGAGUAGCUCCCCGAAUCCCAUCUUACUGGGAUUUUGUGGAGGCUUCAUAAUAUAGGCAUAAUCAGUCAUUAAUUCUACUUUCAGCCUUCUUCCAUCUCAAGAGAAUGGGGGAGGGGAAGGGCUGAAAAUUCCAAGUUUCUAAUCACAGCUUGGUCUUUCCAAUACCAGCUCUCAUCCAGGAGCCAUCCAGGACCCCACGGAGAAAAAAAGACACUAUUAUUAACCGAGGAAAUACAAGGGUUUCGGAAGUCCUAUGUCAGUAGCUCAAGUCAACGAUCAAAUAUUACAACAAAGGAAGUGCCUAGUGUUCUUAUCACUUAGGAAAUUACAAAGGUUUCAGGAGCCUUGCGUCAGGAGCCGGGGCAGAGACCAAUAUAUAUUUUUUCUAUUAUCUCUUAAUAUCUAUUUGGUAUCUUGAGGUCAGGGACCUGUCUUCUAUCAUUAUAUUGCCAGACCCUAGUGUAGCUCCUGGCCUGUAAUAGGUGCUCAAUAAAAGUUCGUGGCGUGAAUGAAAUAAUUGGUCAUACCACCAGUUAGGAGGCCACGUACCAUUUCAUGAAUGCCAGGAGUUCAUAUAAUAAAGUUAUUAAGGCUGAUGAACAAACAUCAAGUUAUCCAAGAAUAACAUUGCAAAUGAUCUGAAAGACUUUGCUCAUCAUAUUGCUUAAAUAACUCACAAGAUAAGAACUCCCUGUCUUUGUGAGGAUCUUAUAUUGCCUUUGGAAUCCAUGAUGGCCCAGGGAGAAAGUGUAUAUGUUGCAUAGUAGUGGCCAAGUGAUAGAGCCCCGCCCUCAGCCCUUGCUGUUUUCGGGGCUUAAUGAAUAGUUCCCUCCCUCAUGAGGGACUGAGGUUCUCUACCUUGAGGUGGAUGGACACCCAGAAAGUAGUUGAACUGCUUGCCUUUGUUUAAAAAGAAUGAAAAUGUUCUCACCAGCUUUCACUAAGUAGGAGUAUUGAAAAUGCACGUCGUGUGUCCCUGUUUGCUUUCACUCUACGAUACCCAAGUCUGCAUUUUGAAAUUAAACCUCAUGCCCUUUGUGCAAAAUCUAGUGCAUCAUCAAGGGUUUCGCACUCCUUGAGCACUAAGCUUGGCCAAGAAGGCACCCUUCUGGGUUUCCAAGGUCACCACUCAGUGUUGUGAGUCCUAGCUUCAGCCCCUUGCCUCCCUUAGCACCUUCUGAGAGACAGAAUGGUAGGGUCUGGAGGGACUUUUUACAUCUCAGCACAAGCCAUGGACGGACUGAAAUUAGCCUCCUGAUGGUUGAGCCCUUCUCUCAACAGUUUUUGUUUGUUUGCUUGCUUUUUUAAGUUUUAGGAGUUUCGUUACCACAGGGCCCUGGUCAGGACUGAUCUGGUCAAGCACACUAAGUCUCUCUAACUUUGCAUUUGGGGAAACAGUUUCCUUGGGCUUCUCAUGUAAAUUCAUCCAGCUCGCUUCAGCAGUGGCCUGGACCUCAGGGUGACACAGCCCAGAGUUGGCGGCACCCUGUCCCAGGAAGAUGGGUUUCCAUUCACGUUUCUUUUUUUUGCAUUCUGAAAUGGACCACCCACAUGAUUCCAGAUCAAAUAAGACAAGCUUCUCUUGAUGAGGGAAAAGAAAGAGAAAAAAAAGCGAGAGAGGAACCUUUAUUUAGUGAUUUAGCUAUUUCUUAAAAUCAUAUGAUCAUGAAUAUGAAAAAAAUCUCCAGAGUAAUAAGAUUCUCUUAAUUGAACUCAGAUUUUAAAUAAGAGAGCAUGGUUUCAAAAGAAAUAAGUGAAUAAAAAAAUGCAUGAAGUAAAAUAACAAACAUAGAUUCUGGAAAACACCUUCUGUGUUCACACAGAACCAGCUCUAAGCCUCUUCCUAUGGACACUGGCUUUCAGGUACUAGGUUAACCUGCUGGGCCAGAAAGUACAAAUUUCACCUGAGCCCCUGGAUUACAGAUGGCCUAAAAUAACAAAGAAUAACCAUUAAGAUAGACAGAAGCAGCAUUGCUUUGCUUCACCAUCAUACUCUUGACAAAGAUUAGAUUUUCCUUUAAAUCAGACAAUUUCCUAGUAUUUUCCUGGCUGCUUCUGACUGUGACUAUGCAGAAAGCAAAUGGCAUGCUCAACUCUGUUCAGGCCUUAAAACAGUCCUUCUAGCUGACCUCCAGUUCUACCUAGCCUUCUUAUUCAUCACAGUGAGGAUUCUUCAAAGAGUUUCUUAGACACCUCCACAUGUCUCUUUUCAUCCUAAAUCCCACUCACUUUGAUGGUUGUCUUAACUGUCACCAAGGUAAGUGUUGACGUGGGAAUGUCAAAUGGACUCUCCCUGCUUUAACUCUCCACUUCCUCUAACGCGAGCUGCUCUCCAUUGUCCAGCUUCUGCUCUUCUCCAUCUGCUUUUGUGCUUUUUUCCCUAGCAACCUUUUAGAAUGUUGGUUGCUAUUGCCUGGGCUUCUGUCAUCAGACGGAUGCCUUCCUGAUCAGGAAGCUCCACUGGGCUGAGUGCAUCCCUCUUCUGGCUUCUAGCUCCUGUAUCCCAUAGCUUUGUCUUUGUUUCUACUUGUGUCCUGGACAUCUUCACCUAAAUGUGUUACAAGCACUAUAAAGCGCUUUUGACUCAAACUAAUUCUUUAUUUGACCCCGAACCUAUCCUCUUCUCAUAUUCUCUGAGUUAAUUAUAUCAUCUUGUGUCUAAUUAUUUGAGUUAGAAUACUGAAACAUCGCUGGAACUCCAUUCUUUUCCUUGUCCCUUCCCCCUAAAUCCACUUGCACAUUAGAUCCUAUGGUUUCUGCUUCCUGAUUAGCUCCCUGCUUCACUGUUGCCACUACUUAGGCUUAGGCCCAAAUGGCCUAAAGCCAACUCCUAACUAACCAACCCCUGGGCACUUUCUUCUGCAUCCAAACCAUCCUAAAGGCUGAUGCUAAAGUCAGAAAAAAAGGGGAGGAGGAAGGGAGGGAGGAAGAGAGAGGAAGGGAAAGUAGGGAAAGGAGCGAAUGAAUGAAUCAGGUUAAUCCUCUAAUUAAAAUCUUACAAUGCUUCCCCAUUGCCUGACCAAUAAAUCCCAAACUCCUUAGACUGGCGUAAGAACUCUUUCCAGGCCAGCCCUAACUUGCCCAUUUAACUCUACUUAUUCUGUUAGAGAGACAUCACAUUCACAUAACUUUUAUUACAUAUAUUACCAUAAUUGUUCUAUUUUAUUAUUAGUUAAUGUCUUACUGUGCCUCAUUUAUAAAUUAUGCCUUAUCAUAGGCAUGUAUGUACAGCAAAAGACAUAAUAUGCAUAGGGUUUGGUACUAGACAGAUUCAGGCAUCCACUGGGGAUCUUGGAACAGAUCUCCCCACAAUUGAAUAUUGCAAACACAAUCUCUCUUUUGCAUCCAUCUGAACUGCUAAAAAAAAAAAAAAGGGGGAA